Molecule: RNase P RNA, 354 nt
Filed under: Candidatus Portnoybacteria bacterium RBG_13_40_8
Lineage: Bacteria; Candidatus Portnoyibacteriota
Description: RNase P RNA component class A
Rfam family: Bacterial RNase P class A
About the family: Ribonuclease P (RNase P) is a ubiquitous endoribonuclease, found in archaea, bacteria and eukarya as well as chloroplasts and mitochondria. Its best characterised activity is the generation of mature 5'-ends of tRNAs by cleaving the 5'-leader elements of precursor-tRNAs. Cellular RNase Ps are ribonucleoproteins.
Source: RNAcentral
CUAGUAAGUUGGGUAAUCGCUCUUUAUUGAUAAAAUAUUGAGAGGAAAGUCCGAACACUCCCGCGUCAAACGCGGAGCAGCCUAGCGGGUAAUGCCCGUCGUCCCCGCCUACCGUCAGGCAGGCGCAAGGAUAGGGAUGCGAACAGUGACGAUGCUCCGACGUAAAGUCGGAGAGUGAAACGGCUAAAUUCCUAGGUGGGUGCAAGAGCAAAUAUCUGGAUGGAGAUGAUUAUGAUCUUCUACCAGUGAAACGGUGGCUCGCUUGACCCCGAGAGUAAUCGAGGGGCUAGAUAAAUGAUUACCGUCCGCUGAUGAAGCGAGAUACAGAAUUCGGCUUAUAGACUUACUAGGACA